RNAcentral lists this ribosomal RNA (468 nucleotides) under uncultured bacterium. Its description in RNAcentral is "partial 16S ribosomal RNA". It matches the Rfam family "Bacterial small subunit ribosomal RNA", at positions 28 to 507 of the family's 1533-position model. The record is from RNAcentral.
GACGAACGCUGGCGGCGUGCUUAACACAUGCAAGUCGAACGGAAAGGCCCUGCUUUUGUGGGGUGCUCGAGUGGCGAACGGGUGAGUAACACGUGAGUAACCUGCCCUUGACUUUGGGAUAACUUCAGGAAACUGGGGCUAAUACCGGAUAGGAGCUCCUGCUGCAUGGUGGGGGUUGGAAAGUUUCGGCGGUUGGGGAUGGACUCGCGGCUUAUCAGCUUGUUGGUGGGGUAGUGGCUUACCAAGGCUUUGACGGGUAGCCGGCCUGAGAGGGUGACCGGCCACAUUGGGACUGAGAUGCGGCCCAGACUCGUACGGGAGGCAGGAGUGGGGAAUAUUGCACAAUGGGCGGAAGCCUGAUGCAGCAACGCCGCGUGCGGGAUGACGGCCUUCGGGUUGUAAACCGCUUUCGCCUGUGACGAAGAGUGAGUGACGGUAAUGGGUAAAGAAGCACGGGCUAACUACGUG